AAAACAGGAAACAAAUUGUUUCAAUGGAAAUAUGUAUAGUUUCUUUCGAGCUAAUUCCCUUUUUAGGUUUUCUUUGCAGCUCAAAACUUGAAGGAAGGUCACCAAGUUGCAGGCUCUCGCUCUCACACUAAGUAUCAAUAGGUUUCGUUUUAUUAGCUUAUUUGCCAGAUUUGGGGAAUAGUUUUCAGCAAGAAAAGAGUUUUUGCAAAACGUUGGGCACUGCAAUAGAAAACGAAGAAGGCAAAUCAGUUUCAUCUCCGAAUUCAAAAGGUUUAGAACAUCAAAUUAAGUUAUAGGUGUUCUUCAAAUUAAGUUUCAGAUCACAACCCUUGCAAAUGCAAUUGAAGAGAUGUUAGAGUGACAGUGGUAGAGAAACUGAGAACAAAACUGCAGCUCAUCAAACCUAUCCAGCACGAACUCUGAAGCACCCAAGUGGCCAAGUAUGUGCAACAUAAAAAAAGUUAUG
This is a long non-coding RNA of Rosa chinensis, 466 nucleotides long. RefSeq lists it as uncharacterized. Lineage: Eukaryota; Viridiplantae; Streptophyta; Magnoliopsida; Rosales; Rosaceae. The record is from RefSeq and is a predicted model, not a curated record. The transcript has 4 exons.